UACGUAGGGUGCAAGCGUUGUCCGGAAUUAUUGGGCGUAAAGAGCUCGUAGGCGGUCUGUCGCGUCGGCUGUGAAAACCUGGGGCUUAACCCCGGGCCUGCAGCCGAUACGGGCAGACUAGAGUUCGGCAGGGGAGACUGGAAUUCCUGGUGUAGCGGUGAAAUGCGCAGAUAUCAGGAGGAACACCGGUGGCGAAGGCGGGUCUCUGGGCCGAAACUGACGCUGAGGAGCGAAAGCGUGGGGAGCAAACAGG
This 253-nucleotide ribosomal RNA is filed under the name uncultured bacterium. RNAcentral's name for it is "partial 16S ribosomal RNA". It matches the Rfam family "Bacterial small subunit ribosomal RNA", at positions 524 to 776 of the family's 1533-position model. The record is from RNAcentral.